GAGGAAUAUUGGUCAAUGGGCGAGAGCCUGAACCAGCCAUGCCGCGUGAAGGAUGACAGCGCUAUGCGUUGUAAACUUCUUUUGUACGAGAAGAAACGCUCCGACGUGUCGGAGUUUGACGGUACCGUACGAA
This 133-nucleotide ribosomal RNA is filed under the name uncultured bacterium. RNAcentral's name for it is "partial 16S ribosomal RNA". It matches the Rfam family "Bacterial small subunit ribosomal RNA", at positions 356 to 486 of the family's 1533-position model. The record is from RNAcentral.